This 254-nucleotide ribosomal RNA is filed under the name uncultured bacterium. RNAcentral's name for it is "partial 16S ribosomal RNA". It matches the Rfam family "Bacterial small subunit ribosomal RNA", at positions 524 to 776 of the family's 1533-position model. The record is from RNAcentral.
UACGGAGGUGGCGAGCGUUGUCCGAAGUUACUGGGCGUAAAGCGCGCGUAGGCGGGGGAUUAAGUGAGAAGUGAAAGGCUGGGGCUCAACUCCAUGCAGUGCUUCUCAUACUGGUCUUCUUGAGGGGGGUAGAGAGAAGUGGAAUGGCUGGUGUAGCGGUGAAAUGCGUAGAUAUCAGGAGGAAUACCGAUGGCGAAGGCAGGUCUCUGGGCUGACACUGACGCUCAUGCACGAAAGCGUGGGGAGCAAACAGG